AGUUGUCAUCGAUUCACAUAUAUCUGUAUGUACUAGGGCUAACAACUCAUUUGCCCUCUCUCCAUGUUCAGAAAAUAGAGACUUGGUCAUCUUACCCAUGAAACAAGAUUCACAAGUUCCCAAUGAUUCAUAAUCAUAUGGGUCAAAAAAUUCUUCUUUGUAUCACUUGUUUAUCCGUGACUCACUAAUAUGACCAAGAUGGCAACGUCAAAGAUAUG
Molecule: long non-coding RNA, 218 nt
Filed under: Elaeis guineensis (African oil palm)
Lineage: Eukaryota; Viridiplantae; Streptophyta; Magnoliopsida; Arecales; Arecaceae
Description: long non-coding RNA (EGUI_LNC050035)
Source: RNAcentral